AGUGAACGCUGGCGGCAGGCCUAACACAUGCAAGUCGAACGGCAGCGGGUCAGUAGCAAUACUGAUGCCGGCGAGUGGCGGACGGGUGAGGAAUACAUCGGAAUCUACCUUGUCGUGGGGGAUAACGUAGGGAAACUUACGCUAAUACCGCAUACGACCUACGGGUGAAAGCGGCGGACCGCAAGGCGUCGCGCGAUUGG
RNAcentral lists this ribosomal RNA (200 nucleotides) under uncultured bacterium. RNAcentral's name for it is "partial 16S ribosomal RNA". It matches the Rfam family "Bacterial small subunit ribosomal RNA", at positions 29 to 224 of the family's 1533-position model. The record is from RNAcentral.